This 483-nucleotide ribosomal RNA is filed under the name uncultured bacterium. RNAcentral's name for it is "partial 16S ribosomal RNA". It matches the Rfam family "Bacterial small subunit ribosomal RNA", at positions 29 to 523 of the family's 1533-position model. The record is from RNAcentral.
AGUGAACGCUGGCGGCGUGCUUAACACAUGCAAGUCGAACGAGAAACGGAUUUAGCUUGCUAAAUUGCAGUCUAAGUGGCGCACGGGUGAGUAAUGUAUAGGUAAUAUGCCUCUUACUAAGGGAUAACAAUUGGAAACGAUUGCUAAUACCUUAUAUGCCUUUAAGACUAAAGUCUGCAAGGGAAAGAUUUAUUGGUAAGAGAUUAGCCUGUAUUGUAUCAGCUAGUUGGUGAGGUAAUGGCUCACCAAGGCUAUGACGCAUAACUGGUUUGAGAGGAUGAUCAGUCACACUGGAACUGAGACACGGUCCAGACUCCUACGGGAGGCGGCAGUGGGGAAUAUUGCACAAUGGACGAAAGUCUGAUGCAGCAACGCCGCGUGGAGGAUGACACAUUUCGGUGCGUAAACUCCUUUUAUAUAGGGAGAUAAUGACGGUACUAUAUGAAUAAGCACCGGCUAACUCCGUGCCAGCCGCCGCCGUAA